Molecule: long non-coding RNA, 588 nt
Filed under: Oryza sativa Indica Group (long-grained rice)
Lineage: Eukaryota; Viridiplantae; Streptophyta; Magnoliopsida; Poales; Poaceae
Description: lncRNA OsGoSa_07g0026320
Source: RNAcentral
AUACAUAGGCAGGCGACACCGCGUGCACGCCCUCCGCCUCCCCAAUCCGUCCCGUCUCCUCGCCCGCCGCCCUCGACUCUCGUCUCCUCGCCUGCCGCUGGCGCCGAUCUCCAUCCUGCUAGCAGAGGCGGCGCCGGCGUCCUCCUCCUGCUCCCGCCGCAUUCGCUCACCGGUGAGCAUCCUAAUCCAUCCCAUCCGGCCUCGGCCUCGGCCUCGAAUUUCGUCUCCUCGCCCGCCGCUUGCGCCGAUCCCCAUCCUGCGAGCAGAGGUGGCGCCCGGCGUCCUCUUCUAGCUUCCACCGCAUCGUCGCUCGCCGGUGAGCAUCCCUCCCUACCCACACCUCAUCAGGUAUUCUGCGUUAUCCCUCAAAAAGUUUGGGGGUUCAACCGAAACAGGGAUUAUACUGGCAGUAUUGCACUGUCCUCGCCUUCUCCGGUGAGCUCUCUUCCGCCGUCUCGUCCCUUCUCCGAUGAUCUCGCUGGCUGUUCCGGCGAUAUACUCGUUGACCUCCCAGUUUCCCAGUGCCACCACGCACGCCAGGGCGCCUUCCCGAUGCGCGUGCGCGUGCGUGCCCCAGUCGGCAAGUAG